CCUCCCGGGAAGUCCUCGUGU
Molecule: small nuclear RNA, 21 nt
Filed under: Arabidopsis thaliana (thale cress)
Lineage: Eukaryota; Viridiplantae; Streptophyta; Magnoliopsida; Brassicales; Brassicaceae
Description: snRNA_15818
Source: RNAcentral